UCAGGACGAACGCUGGCGGCGUGCCUAAUACAUGCAAGUCGAACGGUCUUUCUAUGGAAGCUUGCUUCCACUGAGAAGAUAGUGGCGAACGGGUGAGUAACACGUGGGGUAACCUGCCCAUAAGAGGGGGAUAACAUCCGGAAACGGGUGCUAAUACCGCAUAGUUUUCUUGAUCGCAUGAUCGGGAAAGGAAAGACGGCCUUUGUGCUGUCGCUUAUGGAUGGACCCGCGGCGUAUUAGUUAGUUGGUGAGGUAACGGCUCACCAAGACGAUGAUACGUAGCCGACCUGAGAGGGUGAUCGGCCACAUUGGGACUGAGACACGGCCCAAACUCCUACGGGAGGCAGCAGUAGGGAAUCUUCCGCAAUGGACGAAAGUCUGACGGAGCAACGCCGCGUGAGUGAAAGAAGGUUUUCGGAUCGUAAAACUCUGUUGUCAGAGAAGAACAAGUUGGAGAGUAACUGCUCCAGCCUUGACGGUAUCUGACCAGAAAGCCACGGCUAACUACGUGCCAGCCGCCGC
This 522-nucleotide ribosomal RNA is filed under the name uncultured bacterium. Its description in RNAcentral is "bacterial SSU rRNA". It matches the Rfam family "Bacterial small subunit ribosomal RNA", at positions 24 to 518 of the family's 1533-position model. The record is from RNAcentral.